CAAUAGCGUAUAUUCAAGUUGUCGUGCUUGAAAAGCUCGUAGUUGGAUUUCUGCCGAGGACAACCGGUCCGCCCUCUGAGUGAGUGUUUGGCUCCGCCUGGGCAUCUUCUUGGAGAGCGUAGCUGCAGCAUGGAAUAAUAAGAUAGGACCUCGGUCCUAUUUAAUUGGCUUCUAGAGCUGAGGUAACGAUUAAUAGGGAUAGUUGGGGGCAUUCAUAUUCAUCAGUCAGAGGUGAAAAUCUUGGAUUUUUGUUAAGGACAGACUACCGCGAAAUCAUUUGCCAAGGAUCUUUNCAUUUA
RNAcentral lists this ribosomal RNA (299 nucleotides) under uncultured eukaryote. RNAcentral describes it as "partial 18S ribosomal RNA". It matches the Rfam family "Eukaryotic small subunit ribosomal RNA", at positions 592 to 976 of the family's 1831-position model. The record is from RNAcentral.